RNAcentral lists this ribosomal RNA (279 nucleotides) under Triticum aestivum (bread wheat). RNAcentral's name for it is "partial small subunit ribosomal RNA". The record is from RNAcentral. Lineage: Eukaryota; Viridiplantae; Streptophyta; Magnoliopsida; Poales; Poaceae.
AUGACCCUUGUCAAAGCGGUGCUCACGGCUGUGGCAAUCUACCAUCUUACACCGCAUGACCUUCCGAUGGAGGUGCUUAGGAAGAUUGACUCCUUGCGGCGUGCCUAUCUUUGGGCUGGUUCGGACAAGGUGUCCAGUGGCAAGUGUAAAAUCAAUUGGGAGCUAGUCUGCAAGCCUAAGGAGUUUAUGGGCCUCGGAAUUCUUAACCUUGGGAAGUUCGCUACUGCGUUGCACUUAAGAUGGUUGUGGCUUGAGUGGGAUGACCCUCCGAGAGCUUGG